UACGAAGGGGGCUAGCGUUGCUCGGAAUCACUGGGCGUAAAGGGUGCGUAGGCGGGUUUUUAAGUCAGGGGUGAAAUCCUGGAGCUCAACUCCAGAACUGCCUUUGAUACUGAAGAUCUUGAGUUCGGGAGAGGUGAGUGGAACUGCGAGUGUAGAGGUGAAAUUCGUAGAUAUUCGCAAGAACCCCAGUGGCGAAGGCGGCUCACUGGCCCGAUACUGACGCUGAGGCACGAAAGCGUGGGGAGCAAACAGG
Molecule: ribosomal RNA, 253 nt
Filed under: uncultured bacterium
Lineage: Bacteria
Description: partial 16S ribosomal RNA
Rfam family: Bacterial small subunit ribosomal RNA
Source: RNAcentral